CCGCACCAUUGCCCCUCGUUGGCAACCUGUUGGCUUUUUUUGGCCGAUUCAACAUGCUGAAUAGCACACAGCAGGAGAAACAGAAGUGACUCCCUCUUGGCUUGAGACCAAAACAAACCUGUUACAUAAGCAUCUUCCACUCGGAAAGCCCCAGACGACACCAUCACUCCCACUCACAGUCUCACCUAUGUGCAACAACAAGACUUGAACCUAGGAAAGGUUCCUUGGACCUUGGGAAGGAAUGUUGGAGAACCUGAGAACAAGAAUUUCACAGCCAACGCCACUGUAAUUGUUGUGCAUGACAAAUGAAGACUUGAAACACCAGG
Epinephelus lanceolatus (giant grouper) is the source of this 326-nucleotide long non-coding RNA. RefSeq lists it as uncharacterized. The record is from RefSeq and is a predicted model, not a curated record. NCBI's taxonomy places the organism in Eukaryota, Metazoa, Chordata, Actinopteri, Perciformes, Serranidae.